UUACACAUGCAGUCGAACGAUGAUGCCCACUUGUGGGUGGAUUAGUGGCGAACGGGUGAGUAACACGUGAGUAACCUGCCCUUAACUCUGGGAUAAGCCUGGGAAACUGGGUCUAAUACCGGAUAUGACUCCUCAUCGCAUGGUGGGGGGUGGAAAGCUUUUUUGUGGUUUUGGAUGGACUCNCGGCCUAUCANCUUGUUGGUGAGGUAAUGGCUCACCAAGGCGACGACGGGUAGCCGGCCUGAGAGGGUGACCGGCCACACUGGGACUGAGACACGGCCCAAACUCCUACGGGAGGCAGCAGUGGGGAAUAUUGCACAAUGGGCGCAAGCCUGAUGCAGCGACGCCGCGUGAGGGAUGACGGCCUUCGGGUUGUAAACCUCUUUCAGUAGGGAAGAAGCGAAAGUGACGGUACCUGCAGAAAAAGCGCCGGCUAACUACGUGCCAGCAGCCGCGGUAAUACGUAGGGCGCAAGCGUUAUCCGGAAUUAUUGGGCGUAAAGAGCUCGUAGGCGGUUUGUCGCGUCUGCCGUGAAAGUCCGGGGCUCAACUCCGGAUCUGCGGUGGGUACGGGCAGACUAGAGUGAUGUAGGGGAGACUGGAAUUCCUGGUGUAGCGGUGAAAUGCGCAGAUAUCAGGAGGAACACCGAUGGCGAAGGCAGGUCUCUGGGCAUUAACUGACGCUGAGGAGCGAAAGCAUGGGGAGCGAACAGGAUAA
RNAcentral lists this ribosomal RNA (717 nucleotides) under Arthrobacter sp. 1.9-04. RNAcentral's name for it is "bacterial SSU rRNA". It matches the Rfam family "Bacterial small subunit ribosomal RNA", at positions 49 to 780 of the family's 1533-position model. Lineage: Bacteria; Bacillati; Actinomycetota; Actinomycetes; Micrococcales; Micrococcaceae. The record is from RNAcentral.